Molecule: unclassified non-coding RNA, 172 nt
Filed under: plant metagenome
Description: partial contains 5.8S ribosomal RNA, internal transcribed spacer 2, and large subunit ribosomal RNA
Source: RNAcentral
AUACCUACUCCCCCACCUACAGCCUUGCCCUGCACGCGUCCCACAAUGAUCUUUCCGCAGGUGCGGCAGGCGUUGAUCACUUUGGCAAAGCCGGAGAAGAAUUCAAGCCCCUGCUCCUUUGUCUCAAUUGAAAUGAGCUCAUCAAACGAGGCGCCUGCGCAGAAAGUUCGCU